GGCUGGUUAGCUCAGUUGGUUAGAGCAUAGUGUUAAUAAUGCUAGGGUCAUGGGUUUGAUCCCUGUAUGAAACA
RNAcentral lists this transfer RNA (74 nucleotides) under Alligator mississippiensis (American alligator). It matches the Rfam family "tRNA". Rfam says of the family: Transfer RNA (tRNA) molecules are approximately 80 nucleotides in length. Their secondary structure includes four short double-helical elements and three loops (D, anti-codon, and T loops). Further hydrogen bonds mediate the characteristic L-shaped molecular structure. tRNAs have two regions of fundamental functional importance: the anti-codon, which is responsible for specific mRNA codon recognition, and the 3' end, to which the tRNAs corresponding amino acid is attached (by aminoacyl-tRNA synthetases). tRNAs cope with the degeneracy of the genetic code in two manners: having more than one tRNA (with a specific anti-codon) for a particular amino acid; and 'wobble' base-pairing, i.e. permitting non-standard base-pairing at the 3rd anti-codon position. The record is from Rfam by way of RNAcentral. Lineage: Eukaryota; Metazoa; Chordata; Crocodylia; Alligatoridae.